RNAcentral lists this transfer RNA (76 nucleotides) under Ruminococcaceae bacterium YAD3003. Its description in RNAcentral is "tRNA_Lys_CTT". It matches the Rfam family "tRNA". From Rfam's summary of the family: Transfer RNA (tRNA) molecules are approximately 80 nucleotides in length. Lineage: Bacteria; Bacillati; Bacillota; Clostridia; Eubacteriales; Oscillospiraceae. The record is from RNAcentral.
GGAUGUGUAACUCAGUUGGCAGAGUAGCAGACUCUUAAUCUGAAGGUCGCAGGUUCGAUGCCUGUCACAUCCACCA